This 300-nucleotide ribosomal RNA is filed under the name uncultured Vagococcus sp. RNAcentral describes it as "bacterial SSU rRNA". The stretch from base 52 to 300 matches the Rfam family "Bacterial small subunit ribosomal RNA", at positions 547 to 795 of the family's 1533-position model. Lineage: Bacteria; Bacillati; Bacillota; Bacilli; Lactobacillales; Enterococcaceae. The record is from RNAcentral.
GGCAACGACGGGCCAGCAGCCUGGGGAAGAUGGAGGGGCGGAGGGGUGUGCGGAAGUAAUGGGGGGAAGUGGCUGGUGGGCGGGUCGUCAGGGCGGGAGUGAAAACGCGGGGCUUAACCCCGAGCCUGCUUCCGAUACGGGCAGACUAGAGGUAGGCAGGGGAGAGCGGAACUCCUGGUGUAGCGGUGGAAUGCGCAGAUAUCAGGAAGAACACCGGUGGCGAAGGCGGCUCUCUGGGCCUUACCUGACGCUGAGGAGCGAAAGCGUGGGUAGCGAACAGGAUUAGAUACCCCUGUAGUC